GAUGAACGCUGGCGGCGUGCUUAACACAUGCAAGUCGAACGAUGAAGCCCAGCUUGCUGGGUGGAUUAGUGGCGAACGGGUGAGUAACACGUGAGUAACCUGCCCUUAACUCUGGGAUAAGCCUGGGAAACUGGGUCUAAUACCGGAUAGGAGCGUCCACCGCAUGGUGGGUGUUGGAAAGAUUUAUCGGUUUUGGAUGGACUCGCGGCCUAUCAGCUUGUUGGUGAGGUAAUGGCUCACCAAGGCGACGACGGGUAGCCGGCCUGAGAGGGUGACCGGCCACACUGGGACUGAGACACGGCCCAGACUCCUACGGGAGGCAGCAGUGGGGAAUAUUGCACAAUGGGCGCAAGCCUGAUGCAGCGACGCCGCGUGAGGGAUGACGGCCUUCGGGUUGUAAACCUCUUUCAGUAGGGAAGAAGCGAAAGUGACGGUACCUGCAGAAGAAGCACCGGCUAACUACGUGCCAGCAGCCGCGGUAAUACGUAGGGUGCGAGCGUUAUCCGGAAUUAUUGGGCGUAAAGAGCUCGUAGGCGGUUUGUCGCGUCUGUCGUGAAAGUCCGGGGCUUAACCCCCGGAUCUGCGGUGGGUACGGGCAGACUAGAGUGCAGUAGGGGAGACUGGAAUUCCUGGUGUAGCGGUGGAAUGCGCAGAUAUCAGGAGGAACACCGAUGGCGAAGGCAGGUCUCUGGGCUGUAACUGACGCUGAGGAGCGAAAGCAUGGGGAGCGAACAGGAUUAGAUACCCUGGUAGUCCAUGCCGUAAACGUUGGGCACUAGGUGUGGGGACCAUUCCACGGUUUCCGCGCCGCAGCUAACGCAUUAAGUGCCCCGCCUGGGGAGUACGGCCGCAAGGCUAAAACUCAAAGGAAUUGACGGGGGCCCGCACAAGCGGCGGAGCAUGCGGAUUAAUUCGAUGCAACGCGAAGAACCUUACCAAGGCUUGACAUGUUCUCGAUCGCCGUAGAGAUACGGUUUCCCCUUUGGGGCGGGUUCACAGGUGGUGCAUGGUUGUCGUCAGCUCGUGUCGUGAGAUGUUGGGUUAAGUCCCGCAACGAGCGCAACCCUCGUUCCAUGUUGCCAGCACGUAAUGGUGGGGACUCAUGGGAGACUGCCGGGGUCAACUCGGAGGAAGGUGAGGACGACGUCAAAUCAUCAUGCCCCUUAUGUCUUGGGCUUCACGCAUGCUACAAUGGCCGGUACAAUGGGUUGCGAUACUGUGAGGUGGAGCUAAUCCCAAAAAGCCGGUCUCAGUUCGGAUUGGGGUCUGCAACUCGACCCCAUGAAGUCGGAGUCGCUAGUAAUCGCAGAUCAGCAACGCUGCGGUGAAUACGUUCCCGGGCCU
This 1344-nucleotide ribosomal RNA is filed under the name uncultured bacterium. Its description in RNAcentral is "bacterial SSU rRNA". It matches the Rfam family "Bacterial small subunit ribosomal RNA", at positions 28 to 1381 of the family's 1533-position model. The record is from RNAcentral.